UGAAACUGUGAGGGCUUCAUCGAGGCGUUUCAGCCCUCUAAGUAGAAAAUAGUAGAACUGCCUCCAAGAAGUGGCCGAGGAGGUUAUGACACGAGGGGAAGGGACAAAGGAAAAUGCCCCUGGAGGUGUUCUGAACUACACAUCCCAGAAUCCUGUGUCAGCCCAGAACAACNCGAAUACAGUUGGCUGGAUCCCAUUUAGAAGAACUCCAGUUCUUUUGCAAAGGAGGGUGAAAGGAAGGAUCCAGCACUGUGCUUGGACUGAGAGCAGGAUUUGAAGAGGGACGGCUCACCUCUUGCACGACCCCAUUGCGCAGCAAGAGUUGGUGUUGGAAAAAGUGGGACAAAAAAGGAUUCUUCCAGGCCUUGCAGCUGCUAAUGGCAGACAUAGUUUCCAAUUGACCCCUCUUAUCUAGCAGCGGCUUUUCUCUUAACUCUCUCGCCUGAUCGGGGACCACCAGGGCUGCGUUCACACCUAAGUUUUAACCCAGUUUCCGUCCGCUUUCAGCGGGAGAGAACCCAUCAGCAAAGCGACUAAUCCUUUUCUUGCCACGUUAUCUGACUUUCCGAGUCAGACAGUGCCAAAAGAAACAGCGUCUCACUUUGCUGAUGCGUUCCUUUCACUCUGAAAGCGGACUGAAGCUGGAUUAAAACUUCGGUGNGAACACAGCCCUGGGCUCUGUUCUGGGGUAACCGGAAGUUGCAGGUUGCUUCCCUAAACUAGCAGCUCUGACCAACAAAAAUAACCUUAAUUAUUACCGCUCUUAAGAACAGGUUGGUUUUCCAAUCUCUCCUCCUUUGUAUAACAUCUUCCCUGAAAAAAGCAUUUUGGAAAGCCCUAAAACCNGAGUUUUCCAUUUACUAGCAUUUGUACUGUUUGGAGUAGGCAAACUGUGCAUUUUUGAGGUGUAUUUGUUUGGUGGACAACUUUUGCUUAUUUAUUGCGUUGCAUUUUAUGUGCGGGGAGUCGACAUGCCGUGUCCGGGCUGCAGAGGGUGCUGCUGGAGCCACAAGACAAAGAUUCCUAGAGAGGCGAGGACUUUAAAAGGCGGUGUCCUGCCCAAGGGCACCUCUACGCUUUUCGUACCUCUGGAGAGCCUGCCUGCCUGCCUGCUGCAAUGCUGCAAGAGGACACCCAGGCAUUGGUGUGCCGGUUUUACGCCCUGCAGAGCGAGCGGGUGGAGGCGUAUCACCUCUUCGAGGAGGGCCACCGGGCGUACCUGCGAAGCGCCCCGGCCUACGACUUCCUCCGCUACCGCCAGCUGGUGCACGAGAUCACCCAGGCCUUCAGUGGCAUCUCCCGGGAGAUCCUGCAGAUCCGAGAGCAGCUAGCGGGUGCCCACGGGCGCGCAGACCUGGCCGAGCACCUGGGGCGCCUGCAGGCGAAGGAGAAGGAGAAACUGGAGCUGGUGAGAGGAGGGAAAGACGGCGGGGGGGGGGGCGGUGCGUGUCCCUGG
Molecule: long non-coding RNA, 1456 nt
Filed under: Salvator merianae (Argentine black and white tegu)
Lineage: Eukaryota; Metazoa; Chordata; Lepidosauria; Squamata; Teiidae
Description: lncRNA (ENSSMRG00000008039.1)
Source: RNAcentral